AAACCAGCACCUCAAGUGGUCAGGAUGAUUAUUGGGCCUAAAGCAUCCGUAGCCUGCUCUGUAAGUUUUCGGUUAAAUCUGUACGCUCAACGUACAGGCUGUCGGGAAUACUGCAGAGCUAGGGAGUGGGAGAGGUAGACGGUACUCGGGAGGAAGUGGUAAAAUGCUUUGAUCUCUCGAUGACCACCUGUGGCGAAGGCGGUCUACCAGAACACGCCCGACGGUGAGGGAUGAAAGCUGGGGGAGCAAACCGGAUUAGAAACCCCGGUAGUCC
RNAcentral lists this ribosomal RNA (274 nucleotides) under uncultured bacterium. Its description in RNAcentral is "partial 16S ribosomal RNA". It matches the Rfam family "Archaeal small subunit ribosomal RNA", at positions 473 to 747 of the family's 1478-position model. The record is from RNAcentral.